UAAACUUCAAAGACUGAUAAUGGAUGAAUUGUAUCACUUCUGAUAGAUUGCAAAGACCCUCCCAAGCAUUCUUCAACAAGUUUUAAAGGACUGCCUUAUUUCCAUAAUCUCCAUGCCUGCAGCAAAUUGAAACCCUUUUAGGUUUUAUCAGUCCAAGAUAAGCAGCAGAAAAUUGAUUAUAAAAUAUCUGCUGAAACUGACAUGUUCAAGAAGGUUGCUGCUCUGUGUUGGAUGGUAAAGCCCUCUAUUUUUUCUUCACACUUAUUAUCUCCUGCAAUAAUAUGCCAAAGCUAAAGAUAUCUGAUUUUACUGAAAGCAGUCCGUCAAUAGCAUAUUCAGUGCCAUAUAACCACUGCAGAACAUUAUCGAUAGCAAUAAAUAUAUGAGGAUCUGUAGACAUUAUGAAAAUAAAUGGACACUUACUAAGUUCCAACGACUCUUUUAGUGUUCCCUUCAGUAUGGCCUCCUCCAAAAGUUCUAGCUAUGCCAAAAUCUGAAAUUUUUCGAUUCAUCUCACUAUCAAGCAGAACGUUACUAACUUUAAGAUCUCUAUGAAUAAAAAAAAUUAUUCAAAUGAAAUGGCAAAGAAUUUAAUUAACACUUUUGAAGAAACUGCAUGUGGAUUUGCUAGCAUCUCUAUUAACAAAGUAAAUUUUUUUUUGUUUAUUUAGCAAAGGAACAAAAUUAGCAUAUUUGUGAAGGAUAUAUCAAAGUUACCAGUCAACUUUGCAUGACCUCUGUAAAGGAAAUGACUGACAGUAAACAGCCCCAAAAGCACAACACAGUAGUUUUGCAAUUACUGCAGGAAGUUUUAUCCUGGGCUUAUCUUUCAAUUCUGUAUGACGAAAUUUGAAACAUGAACAAAAACAAAAGAAGCAGCGAAAAGAAGAGAAAAUGUAGACUCAUAUUUGAUUCUGAAGCAGACACGCUAACAUUGAGAUCCUGCCCUUUUGAUUGAAAUUGUCUGCAAUCAAUCAGAUGAUGAAACUAAAGGGCCCAACCACUACCUCUUCCUCUGUUAUCCGAACUAGUGUAUGCCAUAUGGGAAUAGUUCUGUAGAUAUUUAGCCCUGCAUCCCUUGAGAUUCAUAGUUUUAGUCCAAGAAUGUGUAGCAUUUGGCAUUUUCAAAUCUUUUAAAUCUGAUAAAUCCAUCUCUGCUUUGGCAGUUGAAUGGCUUAUUGUGCUUACACCCGAGGGACCAGUCUGAUGAGUUCUAUCUUUCAGGGAAUUCAGGCUUAAACAUCAGCUUUCAGGGAAUUAAGGCUUGAAUCCUUUAAAAAGUGGAAGCUGAGUACCAUCACAAUUCCCUUUUGAACCACAAAGUCCAUAUCUGUCAAAGUAGUCUCUUGAAGCAAAUGAGAAAAGCAUCCAAGCUUGCUUUCUGCAUUUCAUGUGUAGUCCUGUGAUCAUUGAUUUCUAUUUGAGACACUUUGGAUGGUUGACAUAUAAAAUACGUAUACCAGGUGGGUAGAUCAUGCGUUGUUUUUAUAAGAUGAUGUGAUUGACUGACUUUUGAUAAAUGAACCGUACAGAAAGUGCAGCAGAAAACAAAUUGUAAACAUUGAGGUUCCAGAUAAUUUGUGUUAUUUAAUAAUUUGAAGCUUAUUCCUCUAAUCAUUCUCUUCACUGGACAAACAUAACUUCAAUGACUUACUUGUAUUAAAUGAUUUCCAAUUCAUCAACCAUUUAAGACCAGUGUGGAUGUGCAGGAUAGUCGUAAGAAUUCAUCUCCAAGUUCAACAGGGCUGCCUUCCUCCCAUAAUCUCCAAGCCUGCAACAAUUGGCGGAGAAAUGCAGAUUGAAGGGUGUUAAGUUGGAGAUUUUAUUUUUAUAUUAAAAAAUAAAAAAUUAAAGACUUGGUUUUAUUUUGAUAUUAAAAAAGAGUAAUUAUUUAGCAAAUGAGAAAUUAAGAGAUAAAAACAGGAUGUGGAUGAAAAUAAACUCACAAUGUUUGCAGUUUUUAAUAAGAAGCAAGAGCCUUGCACCCACAUUUAAUCAAACAUCACUUCUAUUUCUCAUUCUAUCACUGAUAUCGAACAAAGGGAGAAAGGAAUCCUUAGCAUCAGGUUGAUCCCAUUCCACUGAUUCCCACCAUUCUCUCGGGUGUACUCUGAUUUGUUUUAGAGAAGAAGGAGGAGAUGGUUUCCCAUUUUCAGCAAGGGGAAGAGACAAAGGGAUCUUCUUUACUUCUCGACAUGCCAAUAUAUUAUAAGAAACAAGAAGUUUUUGUUUCCAUCAUCUUUGAGUAUAAUAUUUACAUUUCCAACAAGAUUUAUAUCUAGAUGAAUUUAUUCAUUUUUCCCCUUAAAGAACCAUCUCAAAUUCUUGAAUAUAUCAUAUCUAUGUGGUUCCUAGUCUUGAUCAUUACAACAUUAAUAAAAGGAUGAUGAGAAUGAAGAAAUCAGUUGACUAUAAAUUUAUAAAUGACAAAAUUUUUUAUUAAAAAAGGAAACCAUUUAAAGUUGAUACCUUGCUUUUCUAACACAUAUACAUACUAAAUAAAUGUUAUAUAUCUAUUAAUCAAUGCAAAAUUUUAAUUUUGGUAUUGAAAGACUAAAUUUACUAAAUUUGAUUAUGCAUUUUACACAUUUAAUAAAAAUUUAAGUUAGAAUAGGUAAGAAUAUCUAAUUGUUGGCCUUAAUGAAUAUAGAAAUUACUAUUGAAUGUUGAAAAUGAAUAUAGGCAUAAUGCUCAAAAAAACUCUUGAACUAUUUAAGAAAAUUCAAAUAAAUUUUUAUUCUUUUAUUGUGUUCAUUCAAGUCCUUAUAUUUUUAUUUAAUUUGGAUUAAGCAAGCCUUUAUAACUAAUAGUUUACUAAUUGUUAUUAAUCAAAAUGUCUCUUAUCAUUUUAUAUUCAUGUGGUGUUGAGAAGACGCUGAUGCGGAGGGUGAAAAAUAAGAUAUGACCAUAUCAUCAUACCACAUCAACGUGUUUUAAAAAAUCUUAAAAAAUAAUUAUAAGAAUAAACUAAGAAUGUAGAAUGACAUUAAAAAAACCAUUUAAACUUAACAGCCAUUUUUUCUUUUUAUGGGAGAACAAAAACAAAGAGAGAAUUUCACAAACAUCUCGUAUAAGAUUAAUAAAUGUCAUGUAUGCGUAUUAAAUAAAUAUCAUGUAUAUAUUAAUCAACGUAAAGUUUUAAUUUUGAUAUUGAAAGACUAAAUUUAGUACAUUUGAUUAGUUUUAUUUAUUCAUUUUAUUCAUUUAAUACAAAUUUAAAUUAGAUAAAGUAAGAAUUUCUAAUUGUUAGCUAAAUGAAUAUAGAAAUUACCAUUUAAUGUUAAAAAUAGAUAUUUUCACACAAAAGUAUAUAUUUGGUCGCGUAACUCAAACAAAAGAAAAACUUCAUACUAUUAAAUUUUUUGUUGGAGACUAUAGUUGCUUACGUUAUUUUAAUCCUUUUUUUCCCAUAUAUUUUGUCUACUCAUAUUUAGUUUCUAUGGUUCCCUAGUCUCAAUUCCAUCAUCAAAUAUAAAUUAAAGAGAAAGAACCAAAAAAAAAUUAUAUGGAGUUUGUUGAAGGAUAAAUUUAUGCCAGAAGGUAAGAUUCAGAGAUGUUACCAAAGAUGAAAAAUAUAAGCGCAGAUGCUUCAGCUUGUUGAUAUCACUAAGCAGAUCCCCUUGCAGAUUCCUAUAUAAUGAGAAGGAAUUAUGAAGCGAAUAAGUCAAUGCAAAAUUAUCCUUUAUGAGAAACUAUCCUUGCAAAAAUUGUCAAGAAAUCAAGAUCUUCAAAAUUAUCCUUUAUGACAAGAAAACGAAUGAUGAAGAACAUGAACUAUUGAAAAGUGGGCAAGAUGAAUAAUUCUAUGGAACUUAUGUUAAGAUGGGUUUGUGUUAUAAGGUAAGAUUCUGAUUAAUUAAUGUUACCAAAGAUGAAGACAAAUCAUAAGCAUCGACAGUUUACCUGGUUCAGUGAGGCAGUGAAUUAAUUGAUACUUCUAUCCUCAAAAGGUCUUUAUUAAUUUUCGGAAACAAGCAUGUUGAAGAAAAAUAAACAGCAAAAAGCAGAUGAUCUCCUUGCCAAAUUAAAAGAAAGUCCUAAUCUUAAGCUUCCGUGAGAGGAAAAUCAAUGAAUUACGAAGCAAGUAAGAAUUAAAAGUCGUCGCACAUGUUGUGAAGUCACUUUCCUUGGAGCUGUUUCACAAUAAUGCAAAUGUGAAUACAAGAAAAACUGGCAAAGUAGGACCGAAUAAUGGGGCCACUUAUCCUACUCUCCUUUAUUGUUGUCCUCACAAGUCACAACUUUCUUUCACAGAAUGUCCAUUGGUUUCUACUUUCAAAGCUUGUAAAAUUCAUAGAAAAACUUUUCAGUUUGUCAGAUUUUAGAGAGCAAACAUGUUUAAACUGAUAACCGUUAAUUAGUAUGCAAUUCUUCCUUCAAAUGACCAUUGGCUGUCUUGUGCAUGCUCUACCUGGCCCUUAACAGUAAUGACUAGCAGUUUAUGGAUUGCAGAAAAGCUACCUUAUAGUAAAUGCAGUUCUUCGAGUGUCAUGUGAGGAGGGACAAUGAACAUAUAAAAUUUUUUAGGAUGAAAAUUUGAGAAUCCUUUCUCUUGUUUUUUCCCCAUCAACUAUACUAUGAUUGGUUGAUUUUGAUUAGACUCUUAAACCUAUAAAUUACAAGCUAUUUAAGAAUUUAGCUUGAUUACGUCAUUCUUACACUAAAUAAGGCCAACAUGACAAGUCAGAAACAUAUAUUCGUUAUAUGCACAAUGUCUUAGAGUUUCCCUCCUUCCAUCCAUAAUCCUACUCGGGAAGAGAAGACUUUAACCGCAAAUUACUAUUCAUAAGAUGUUUUGAUUAAUUAUAUCACAGAUCAGCGUUUUCAUUUUGCCUCAUUUUUCUUAUUAUAAUUAAUUCAGCAUAAUUAAGAGAAUAAAAGCACGAUAAAGAAAGAAUCAAAAUAAUUUUAUGUAAGUUGACAAAAUAGUUUUAUGUAUAGAUUUCUCUUGUCGAUUCUCAAGAUGAUGCUGGAAUCACCAGAACCAUUUAUUAUAUGUUAACUUCCCAGCUGAUUGUGAAUUAAUUUUUUCUAUAAUUUUCGUCUGACGUUUGUAGAUCUUAGUAAUGAUCUGAAGCAGAGCCAGAGCAGGAGGCUUUGAGCUGUAAUUUGUUUGCAUCUGCAACAUGAUUGAAGAAUCUAAUUAACUAUGCACAACAAGUUUAUCCCUAGAUAUAAGUAAUGAGAAAGAAGCUAUACAUGCUUGUCAGCCAUUUCAGAUUACUUGAAAAGAUAAAUUGUUGAAGAAACCAGUUUUAUCAUUUCGUCUUCUUCCAGAAUAGCCUGUUUAUGAUUCCGUGGGUAUUGGUUAUGAAUUGGGGUAUUUCCAUUCCAUCAUCCGCUGUUUAAAAUCAGAAAAAAGAAGCAGCAAAGCAAAGCCGAGGGAAGAUAAUAGCAGCUAGGAAAAUCUCCUGUCCAAAUAUUAAUAUAUAUCAAUCGAAUGAUUGGGCAAAAGCCAAUAUCUUCCAUGCUGAUAAGAAUAAAUGUAUCUGAUUGAGAGAAACUGAAUAUGCCUACUCCAUAAAAACAAUGAAUCAAAAUAUUAUUAUGCCUGCAAAUAUUUUUAUGGUACAUAUAUGACAUUAAAGGCAAAAGAACUUGACAUGGGACAGGCAGGCAACAAGAUCGUAGAAAACAUCUUCAAUGAUUACGGAGCCUUCUAUUAAGUUUAUGUAGAAAAUACGUACAAAUAAGUAAUGGCUUAUCAUGCAUUUUUAUUUUUGUUAUGAUAUGAGCAUUAAAUGACUCUUCCUCAAUGAAACAUCUGAAAGAGUGCAGGAUAAAAGAAUUCAAAACAAUUUACAACUGAUGAAGUUUCAGUGCAGUCAUCUUGUUAAUGUCUCUGUGACACAAAUAUACCGCAAGUAGGCACUCGCAGGGUGCUAUGCUCAAAUUGGGGCUAAACCACUGCUAUCAAAGCCGAAGGUACAAGACAUACUGGUCAAUAGCAUAAAAUAAUGGCUUGGAGUUGAAAGAGUUAAGUAUAGGGUUAAUCAAUUAUCGAGCAUCUAGUACUGACAGAGUCAUUUCAUUUGUCGAAGAAGAUACGUGCUUGUCUGAUGAAGAAUCUUCUUCAUGAAGUGGACUUUUCUUAAACAAAAUACCAAGUUGUUUGGGGUGUGGCAAUUCAGUUUCACUUCCCAACAUCAGAAUCACAAAUGACAUACUUGGCCUAUCCUCAGGAUGCUGUUGUAAACUUAAAAGACUGAUAAUGGAUGAAUUGUAUCACUUCUGAUAGAUUGCAAAGACCCUCCCAAGCAUUCUUCAACAAGUUUUAAAGGACUGCCUUAUUUCCAUAAUCUUCAUGCCUGCAGCAAAUUGAAACCCUUUUAGGUUUUAUCAGUCCAAGAUAAGCAGCAAAAAAUUGAUUAUAAAAAUAUCUGCUGAAACUGACAUGUUCAACAAGGUU
RNAcentral lists this long non-coding RNA (6409 nucleotides) under Theobroma cacao (cacao). RNAcentral's name for it is "long non-coding RNA (TCAC_LNC004214)". The record is from RNAcentral. Lineage: Eukaryota; Viridiplantae; Streptophyta; Magnoliopsida; Malvales; Malvaceae.